RNAcentral lists this ribosomal RNA (645 nucleotides) under Triticum aestivum (bread wheat). Its description in RNAcentral is "partial small subunit ribosomal RNA". The record is from RNAcentral. Lineage: Eukaryota; Viridiplantae; Streptophyta; Magnoliopsida; Poales; Poaceae.
AUGUGGAGGUGCUGGCACGUGAGAAACGAAAUCACGCACCACAAGCUGGCUCCCCCAAUUGAAGUAUCCAAGAGAUUUUUAUCAAGCUACAUCGACACUAUCUUGUGCCUCCAGCAACAUCCCAAUGUCGGCAUGUCAAAGGGCAAGAUGGUAGUCUCCAAGUUUCAGCAACGCCAGGAGAAGCUCAGACCAGCAAGGGCAGCCUGUACCAGACCUCCAGAGCGAUGGCACAGGCCUCCACCAGGCUGGACUAAGUUAAACGUUGAUGGUGCAUAUAUUCAGGCGGAUGGAACAGGUGGCUCGGGCAUGAUCUUGCGCGACGAACAUGGCACCGUCAUUUUUGCUUCUUGCAGUUUCUUGAGGACGUGUUCAAGUGCACUGGAGGCGGAGAUCGAAGCUAUACGUGAAGGGAUUGCAUUGACCCUGGAGUGGUGUACGCUACCUUUCAUACUUGAAGAAAAAAAAAUCAGAUAUGAUAAGAUCCCCAGCGGCGACGACAGUGGGUGUAAUAAAGAACUUGUUACUGGAAGGAGCCAUGUUCUUGGGCAGAUGGGUCACGCUGACCCUAGGACUGCCUUAUGGCUCAGGCAGGGGCCUGACGAGAUAGCUGAACUCGUGGCAAAGGACUGUAUUGUUCCUAGUUGA